Long non-coding RNA from Stomoxys calcitrans (stable fly), 832 nucleotides. RefSeq lists it as uncharacterized. Lineage: Eukaryota; Metazoa; Arthropoda; Insecta; Diptera; Muscidae. The record is from RefSeq and is a predicted model, not a curated record. The transcript has 2 exons.
UCUGCUCUAUCGAUGAGAUACUUUUAUACUUAACAAAGUGUGCUCAAAGUGUGUCUGCCAUAUUCUUUCAUAAACACACACCCAUACUUGUAUAUUUGUAAUGAGCACAUAUUUGCACUCAGCUCUCAUUAUGUAUGGAGAGACAGAAAAAGAGAGAGCGGCCAAUUAUUGAGUGGUUUCUGGCCCUGUGUCAUUAGUGCCUUGGCAUACGACAAUCACAUGUAUCUGUGAGUUACUUUAUAUGGGCAAAUUAUCGGGCCUUAAAAACUGAAAAUCCACAUGCGCCAUGAGGUCCAAAGAGCAUUGUCUUGGCGGACAGACAUAAAAUACCACACCAAGAGUAGGCAAGCGAGAGCAAGCAAUACAAAAUAUCUACCAGCUAACAAGAAAGAAAAGAAGAAAAAAACUACCUGCCAGUCAAACAAAUAGCGACAUAUGGUUUUAAUGAGUAUAUGCUCACAAAUGCCACUAGCAGAAGAAGAGAGCCAAAACUGGCAUGCAAUGUACAGGUAGAUACCUGAAAAAGGGCUCUGGCUAAGCAUAGCAGAGAUUUGUGAAAGAUGGAACAAACCAACAACAAAACAUCACACUAGAAAUGAGAACAAUUUUCUAACAAAAAAACUCAUAGCAAAAUUUUGAAUAUUCAGAUUUAAGUUAAGUCAACAAACAGAUGAGGAGAAGGCAAACAAUGGGAAUUAGUCAGAUUUAAAUACAAAUGUAUUCACACAUACAACACUACACAACGUCAGCACUCUCUAUACAUCUUCAUAAUUAUUAGUCGUUUUCGUCGUCGUCGUCAUCCGAACAAAUAAACCUCGUCACAUAAAACUAA